RNAcentral lists this ribosomal RNA (465 nucleotides) under uncultured bacterium. RNAcentral's name for it is "partial 16S ribosomal RNA". It matches the Rfam family "Bacterial small subunit ribosomal RNA", at positions 28 to 507 of the family's 1533-position model. The record is from RNAcentral.
GACGAACGCUGGCGGCGUGCUUAACACAUGCAAGUCGAACGGAAAGGCCCUGCUUGCAGGGUACUCGAGUGGCGAACGGGUGAGUAACACGUGGGUGAUCUGCCCUGGACUUCGGGAUAAGCCUGGGAAACUGGGUUUAAUACCGGAUAGGAUCCAUUUUUAGUGUGAUGGUUGGAAAGUUUUUUCGGUGUAGGAUGAGCUCGCGGCCUAUCAGCUUGUUGGUGGGGUAAUGGCCUACCAAGGCGGCGACGGGUAGCCGGCCUGAGAGGGUGGAAGGCCACAUUGGGGCUGAGAUACGGCCCAGACUACUACGGGAGGCAGCAGUGGGGAGUAUUGCACAAUGGGCGCAAGCCUGAUGCAGCGACGCCGCGUGGGGGAUGACGGCCUUCGGGUUGUAAACUCGUUUCGCUAGGGACGAAGCUUUUUGUGACGGUACCUAGAUAAGAAGCACCGGCUAACUACGUG